CUUUUUUAAGGCCUCACACAUGGCAUAUGGAGGUUAAAAUAUACUAACAUUGCCUUCUGAGAAAUACUUCUGAAUUUAUGUAUUGAAUGAACUAAUUACUCAUUUGAAGACAUCUCAACUAAUUAAAUCCAACAGAUGAAUUUUUUAAUAUAUCACUUCGGGAAGACAAAGUGCUUCUUGGGCUUAUUGAACUUCAUUUCACAAAUGAAGUAAGUUAGAAGCAAAGAAUACAGUGAGAAUGGGUCUCAAAAAUAUUGUAGUUGAAUUCAGAUUGCAUUCUGCUGUUUAUAUUCUGACCAGAGUAGAUGUUGCAUAAAAUAUUUGUAUGGAAAUCUUUUAAGACAAGGAAGCAAACAUUACAAAACCUCUAAAUUGUACAGACAGAAAUAGUCAUGACAAAAUGGUUAACAUUUAAGGUCAUUCAAUAUAUUUUUAAAUGGAGUUCCUGUCAUGGCACAGUGGUUAACAAACCUGACUAGAAUCCAUGAGGACAAGGGUUAGAUCCCCAGACUCGGAGUGGGUUAAGGAUCCACUUUUGCCAUGAUCUGUGAUGUAGGUCACAGACUCAGCUCAGAUCUGGUGUUGCUGUGGUGUAGGUGGGCAGCUAUAGCUCCGAUUUGACCCCUAACCUGGGAACCUCCAUAUGCUACAGGUAUGCGCCCCCAAAAAUAUAUUUUUAUCUUAUGCAAAUGCAGAAAAUUCAAUAUCAAAGGGAUGGUGCUGUCACUGAAGGGGUGACUACUGUCCUUAAAGGUAUUUUUUUUCAUAGCAACUUGCAGCAGUAGCUUUGCUAAUAGUUUCAGACAGCAAAUGACUAAUCAUUUUUAUAGAGGGAAUUAUUCAGGGAAAUAGAAUCUCAAAAUAUAUAAAAGGCCAAAACACUUGAUGAUGUAUUCCAAAACAGAUUAAACUAAUGAAUUUAUUUCAGUCUUUCCCCUCUUUUUAUUUCGGAGUUGACAUCAGGCAUUAAUUAAAUGUACUCAGCGAAAGAAUUUUUUGGAAGGAAUUAAGCUGUGCUUAUGGAUUGUUAACGUGCCUCGCGAAAGGUUCCCAGGGAAAAAACUGUCAUCAUUCGGUAAUUUCUGCCCCCAUUUGUUAGUACUAAGCAAGUAAGAAGAUUCUUAUAUUAGAAGGGCUGAUGAACUAAAAAAAAAAAAAAAAAAAAAAAAAAAAAANAUAAAUACAAUAUUUUAAUACUCAACCAUUUUUGUACUCAAUCAAAAUAGUGGAACAUGUUUUAUACUUGCUUUAUAGAUUGAGAUCAUGCAGGACCAUUAUGCAUUCUAAGAUGGUAACAAUCAGUUGCUAAAAUCACAGCACUAAAAUCUGCAAUUCAGUGACUGUCACUUUAUAAUUAACUACUUGUUUUUUAUUAGCAGUUAACAAAGCAUUUUAAUGGUGAAGAAGCUGUAAAAUACAAAGAACAUCCUCACAUUAUUCUUAUGAUGAUUAACUUAUGAAGAACUGCUAAUACACAUUAAAUGCCUUAAUAAUAUCGGCGUUUCUAUCCUGCUUUCUCAUUUCUGCUAUGUAUUUUAGCACCAUUAGUUAAAAAGUGAAAACAGAUUUAAAUCUAGAUAUUUCCUUGAAACACCAACCAGGUCCUUACGACAAUACAUUACUGACAUUCUUAAGAUAGGUGGGCUGUAGCUGUGUAUCAAAAAGUAGCUAUUCUAUCUUUUAAAUCAAUAUAUGUAAUUCACUUCAUCAUUAAAAUGAUAAUUAAAAAUCCCAUGAUUAUAUAAAUAGAUUCACUAAAAGCAUUUGAAAAAAUUCAUCUUUCAUAAUAAAAGCUCUUAAAAACUGGGUGUAGAAGAAACAUUCCACAACUCAAUAAAGACCAUAUACAACAAAUCCACAGCUAACAUUAUACUUAGUGGAGAAAAAUGAAAAGGACUUACUUUAAGAUAUGGAAUAAGACAUGGUUGUCCACUUUUGCCACUCCAGUUAACUUAGCAUUGGAAGUCCUAGGUACAGCAAUUAUGUAAGAAAAAUAAAUAAAUAAACAAUGUCCAAAUUAGGAAGUAAGAAGUAAACCUGCAAUUAUUUGCUGACAAUACAAUAUUGUAUAUUGGAAAUCUCAAAGAAGCAAUAAAAAAACUGUUGGAAUUAAUAAAUGAUUUCGGUAAUAUGGCAGGUUACAAAAUCAACUUGUGACAUUCCUUUAUAUAAUAAUGAAGUGUCAAAAAAAAAAAAGAAGUUAAAAAAAAGAACCCAGUCACAAUAGCAUCAAAUAUAAUAAAAUAUUUAGGAAUAAACCUAACCAGGGAAGUGAAAGAUUUAUUCAAUAAAAACUGUAAGACUUUACUGAAAGAAAUCAUACAUAAACAAAUGGAAAGAUAUCUGUGUCUUUAAGUAUUGUUAAAAUGGCAUAGCACCCCAAGUCAUCUACAGAUUCAAUAAAAUCCCCAUGAAAAUGUCAGUGCCAUUCUUCACAGAAAUAGAAAAAAAUAAAUCUAAAAUUUGUGAGGAACUAUGAAAGUUCUGGAAUAGCCAAAGAAAUUCUGAGAAGAAAAAAAAACAAAGCCAGAGGUUUCACGUUUCCUGAUUUCAUACUGCACUACAAAUCCAUAGUAAUGAAUACAGUAUGAUACUGGAACAAAAAUAGACAUAUAAACCACAGGAACAGGCUAUAGAUCCCAGAAUUAAGUCCCAUCAUAUCAGGUCAACUAAUAAUCAACAAGGGAGACAGUAAUACACUAUGGGGGAAGGAAAGUCUGUUUAACAAAUGUUUCUGGGAAAACUGGGAAAAAAUAACACGAAGUACAAUAAAAUUAGACCCUUAUCUCACACAACUCUCAAAAAUUACCUCCGAGUUGAUCGAAGACUUAAAAGUAGUAAUGAUACUAUAAAACACUUAGAAGAAAACAGGGGAAAACUCAUCCAUAUUGGCCUUGGGAAUGACGUUUUAGACUUGAUGCCAAAACACAAACAAAACCAAAAAUCAACAAACAGGACU
This 2959-nucleotide long non-coding RNA is filed under the name Sus scrofa (pig). Its description in RNAcentral is "lncRNA (ENSSSCG00035000506.1)". The record is from RNAcentral. Lineage: Eukaryota; Metazoa; Chordata; Mammalia; Artiodactyla; Suidae.